CGAGCCUCAGUCGAGGCGUUAUUGGUUCUUUGUGUUUUAGUAGGUUGAGAAAGUAGUUAUGAACGAAUAUUGUAUUGUAACGGAGUCAGUAAUACUCAAAAAAAA
Ipomoea nil (Japanese morning glory) is the source of this 105-nucleotide long non-coding RNA. RefSeq lists it as uncharacterized. Lineage: Eukaryota; Viridiplantae; Streptophyta; Magnoliopsida; Solanales; Convolvulaceae. The transcript has 2 exons. The record is from RefSeq and is a predicted model, not a curated record.